AUGAUUGGGUUUGACAUAUUUUCAUGCCCACAGCUCAUCUGAGAUAUUGUUUGACUGAAAGAUUGAAUUACACUGAAACUUGUCACUGAAGGGUAUUUUGAUAAUGUUCUACCAAAAUUUUAAAUCUUUUAGGUAGUCAUGACAUAUUGUUAGAUAUCAAUAUUAACUUGUGAGCUUGAUAAAAAUUGAAAAUAUUUGAUUCUAGAAUCAAUUUGAAAGAGUCCAAGUUGAUUGGGACUCUUCGGGUGGUCUAAUCUCAUCGGAUUAGGGCUAUGUCGAAAGUUCGGAUCUACUGCUGGCU
RNAcentral lists this long non-coding RNA (301 nucleotides) under Elaeis guineensis (African oil palm). RNAcentral describes it as "long non-coding RNA (EGUI_LNC037177)". Lineage: Eukaryota; Viridiplantae; Streptophyta; Magnoliopsida; Arecales; Arecaceae. The record is from RNAcentral.